Long non-coding RNA from Seriola aureovittata, 372 nucleotides. RefSeq lists it as uncharacterized. Lineage: Eukaryota; Metazoa; Chordata; Actinopteri; Carangiformes; Carangidae. The record is from RefSeq and is a predicted model, not a curated record. The transcript is spliced from 2 exons.
CGGGGCCCUCCAUUAGACACGGGCUAAAAGUGCGAGGCGACGGGAGAAACAUGAAAACUGCCGGAGGUGGAAGUGGAAGGGGAGAAAGGGACUUUUCAGACGCGCAGAGCUGCGCAGAGCUUCGGGACCCAAAGGCUCAUGGUGACCUUGUGAUUUAUGGCGCAGCGCUGGAGGAGCAGAUCAGAAUACAGCUGCCCCACAGCUACACACAAACAUGUGUCCGACUCCUGCGCAACCUCGACUUCCUUAAGGUUCCUUAACUUCCUACCUUAACCUGAAGUCCCAAUCUGCAGUCAAACCAGUGCAGCUCUGGACUGAAUGUCUUCCAGCUGUUAGAUAAGAAGAAAUUAUAAUAAAACAAAUGUAUCAGCA